Molecule: ribosomal RNA, 2162 nt
Filed under: Salmonella enterica subsp. enterica serovar Panama
Lineage: Bacteria; Pseudomonadati; Pseudomonadota; Gammaproteobacteria; Enterobacterales; Enterobacteriaceae
Description: partial 23S ribosomal RNA
Rfam family: Bacterial large subunit ribosomal RNA
Source: RNAcentral
AGACCCGAAACCCGGUGAUCUAGCCAUGGGCAGGUUGAAGGUUGGGUAACACUAACUGGAGGACCGAACCGACUAAUGUUGAAAAAUUAGCGGAUGACCUGUGGCUGGGGGUGAAAGGCCAAUCAAACCGGGAGAUAGCUGGUUCUCCCCGAAAGCUAUUUAGGUAGCGCCUCGUGAAUUCAUCUCCGGGGGUAGAGCACUGUUUCGGCUAGGGGGCCAUCCCGGCUUACCAACCCGAUGCAAACUGCGAAUACCGGAGAAUGUUAUCACGGGAGACACACGGCGGGUGCUAACGUCCGUCGUGAAGAGGGAAACAACCCAGACCGCCAGCUAAGGUCCCAAAGUCAUGGUUAAGUGGGAAACGAUGUGGGAAGGCCCAGACAGCCAGGAUGUUGGCUUAGAAGCAGCCAUCAUUUAAAGAAAGCGUAAUAGCUCACUGGUCGAGUCGGCCUGCGCGGAAGAUGUAACGGGGCUAAACCAUGCACCGAAGCUGCGGCAGCGACACUCAGGUGUUGUUGGGUAGGGGAGCGUUCUGUAAGCCUGCGAAGGUGGCCUGUGAGGGUUGCUGGAGGUAUCAGAAGUGCGAAUGCUGACAUAAGUAACGAUAAAGCGGGUGAAAAGCCCGCUCGCCGGAAGACCAAGGGUUCCUGUCCAACGUUAAUCGGGGCAGGGUGAGUCGACCCCUAAGGCGAGGCCGAAAGGCGUAGUCGAUGGGAAACGGGUUAAUAUUCCCGUACUUGGUGUUACUGCGAAGGGGGGACGGAGAAGGCUAUGUUGGCCGGGCGACGGUUGUCCCGGUUUAAGCGUGUAGGUGUGUGUUCCAGGUAAAUCCGGUUCACUUUAACACUGAGGCGUGACGACGAGGCACUACGGUGCUGAAGCAACAAAUGCCCUGCUUCCAGGAAAAGCCUCUAAGCAUCAGGUAACAUCAAAUCGUACCCCAAACCGACACAGGUGGUCAGGUAGAGAAUACCAAGGCGCUUGAGAGAACUCGGGUGAAGGAACUAGGCAAAAUGGUGCCGUAACUUCGGGAGAAGGCACGCUGACAUGUAGGUGAAGUGAUUUACUCAUGGAGCUGAAGUCAGUCGAAGAUACCAGCUGGCUGCAACUGUUUAUUAAAAACACAGCACUGUGCAAACACGAAAGUGGACGUAUACGGUGUGACGCCUGCCCGGUGCCGGAAGGUUAAUUGAUGGGGUCAGCGCAAGCGAAGCUCCUGAUCGAAGCCCCGGUAAACGGCGGCCGUAACUAUAACGGUCCUAAGGUAGCGAAAUUCCUUGUCGGGUAAGUUCCGACCUGCACGAAUGGCGUAAUGAUGGCCAGGCUGUCUCCACCCGAGACUCAGUGAAAUUGAACUCGCUGUGAAGAUGCAGUGUACCCGCGGCAAGACGGAAAGACCCCGUGAACCUUUACUAUAGCUUGACACUGAACAUUGAGCCUUGAUGUGUAGGAUAGGUGGGAGGCUUUGAAGUGUGGACGCCAGUCUGCAUGGAGCCGACCUUGAAAUACCACCCUUUAAUGUUUGAUGUUCUAACGUGGACCCGUGAUCCGGGUUGCGGACAGUGUCUGGUGGGUAGUUUGACUGGGGCGGUCUCCUCCUAAAGAGUAACGGAGGAGCACGAAGGUUGGCUAAUCCUGGUCGGACAUCAGGAGGUUAGUGCAAUGGCAUAAGCCAGCUUGACUGCGAGCGUGACGGCGCGAGCAGGUGCGAAAGCAGGUCAUAGUGAUCCGGUGGUUCUGAAUGGAAGGGCCAUCGCUCAACGGAUAAAAGGUACUCCGGGGAUAACAGGCUGAUACCGCCCAAGAGUUCAUAUCGACGGCGGUGUUUGGCACCUCGAUGUCGGCUCAUCACAUCCUGGGGCUGAAGUAGGUCCCAAGGGUAUGGCUGUUCGCCAUUUAAAGUGGUACGCGAGCUGGGUUUAGAACGUCGUGAGACAGUUCGGUCCCUAUCUGCCGUGGGCGCUGGAGAACUGAGGGGGGCUGCUCCUAGUACGAGAGGACCGGAGUGGACGCAUCACUGGUGUUCGGGUUGUCAUGCCAAUGGCACUGCCCGGUAGCUAAAUGCGGAAGAGAUAAGUGCUGAAAGCAUCUAAGCACGAAACUUGCCCCGAGAUGAGUUCUCCCUGAGACUUUAAGUCUCCUGAAGGAACGUUGAAGACGAC